UAGGGAAUCUUAGGCAAUGGACGGAAGUCUGACCGAGCAACGCCGCGUGAGUGAAGAAGGUUUUCGGAUCGUAAAGCUCUGUUGUUAGAGAAGAACGAUGGUAGGAGUGGAAAAUCUACCAAGUGACGGUAACUAACCAGAAAGGGACGGCUAACUACGUGCCAGCAGCCGCGGUAAUACGUAGGUCCCGAGCGUUGUCCGGAUUUAUUGGGCGUAAAGCGAGCGCAGGCGGUUCUUUAAGUCUGAAGUUAAAGGCAGUGGCUUAACCAUUGUACGCUUUGGAAACUGGAGGACUUGAGUGCAGAAGGGGAGAGUGGAAUUCCAUGUGUAGCGGUGAAAUGCGUAGAUAUAUGGAGGAACACCGGUGGCGAAAGCGGCUCUCUGGUCUGUAACUGACGCUGAGGCUCGAAAGCGUGGGGAGCAAACAGG
This 429-nucleotide ribosomal RNA is filed under the name Bacillota bacterium. Its description in RNAcentral is "Firmicutes bacterium partial 16S ribosomal RNA". It matches the Rfam family "Bacterial small subunit ribosomal RNA", at positions 355 to 776 of the family's 1533-position model. Lineage: Bacteria; Bacillati; Bacillota. The record is from RNAcentral.